This 253-nucleotide ribosomal RNA is filed under the name uncultured bacterium. RNAcentral describes it as "partial 16S ribosomal RNA". It matches the Rfam family "Bacterial small subunit ribosomal RNA", at positions 524 to 776 of the family's 1533-position model. The record is from RNAcentral.
UACGGAGGGGGCUAGCGUUGUUCGGAAUGACUGGGCGUAAAGCGCGCGUAGGCGGAGUGGCAAGUUGGGGGUGAAAUCCCGGGGCUCAACCUCGGAAUGGCCUUCAAGACUGCUGGUCUUGAGUUCUAGAGAGGUGAGUGGAAUUCCGAGUGUAGAGGUGAAAUUCGUAGAUAUUCGGAGGAACACCAGUGGCGAAGGCGGCUCACUGGCUCGACACUGACGCUGAGGUGCGAAAGCGUGGGGAGCAAACAGG